RNAcentral lists this long non-coding RNA (6200 nucleotides) under Sus scrofa (pig). RNAcentral's name for it is "lncRNA (ENSSSCG00060070263.1)". The record is from RNAcentral. Lineage: Eukaryota; Metazoa; Chordata; Mammalia; Artiodactyla; Suidae.
UUUUUUUUUUUUUUUUUUUUUUGGUCUUUUCAGGGCCGCACCUAUAGCAUAUGAAGGUUCCCAGGCUAGGGGUCGAAUCGGAGCUAUAGCCGCUGGCCUACGCCACAGCCGCAACAAGCUGGGAUCUGAGGUGUAUCUAUGACCUACACCACAGCUCACGGCACCGCCAGAUCCUUAACCCCCUGAGCGAGGCCAGGGAUCGAACUAGUAUCCUCAUGGAUACUAGUCAGAUUCAUUUCCGCUGAGCUAUGACGGGACAUCCAAUAUUUCAAUUUUAAAAAGUUAAGCACCUGAAAAAUAUAAAAUAAAAUAGCCCUAGAAAGGCCAUCUCCUGGGACCAGAACUCUACAUGAGCAGCCUAUGGGGCUGUAAAUCGACUGAGAAAAAGUCUGAGUUAAAAAACACACAGAAACAAAAACCCUUCCCGCAUUGACAGUUUUCAUGCUCCUGUACAGGCAUGAGCAAGAAAUUCACAGCAUGGAGUUCUCACUGCGGCAAAGUGGGUUAAGAACUGACUGCAGUGGCUCAGGUUGCUGGGAGGACAUGGGUUCCGUCUGCGGCCCUGGAAUGUCCAUAUGCCGUGGGUGUGGCCAGAAAAAAAAGAAAGAAAUUCACAUCAGGCACACAUUGGCACCAGACUGCAUAAAACAUCACCUUCGUUCUGGUCAUUAAGCUUUUGUACUUGCUGCUUUUCCACCUGGCAUGCACCCCCCAUCCGCUACCCCCCCCAACCCGUCCAUCUCCCAGGCAAGGCCUAGGGGAGCCCCUCCUCCCCCACAAUGGCUUCCUGACCCACUGGGGCCUUGGGGGCCCUCUCUCUCCUCUGCUUGCUUGCAUGCUUGCUCGCUCACCCGUUUCCAGCUGUUGCAAGCUCAGCACAGUUAGGCAGGUAAUUGCCUCCAGCCCCCCACCCCAGCUGCAGGCCCGGCCUCAAUUGGACCAGAGCGAGCUGCGGGUUCUUCAACCGCUAGCCUGGUUUCAAGUGACUUUACAGAAAGCUACCUGCUAGUCUGCGGGCACCCUUUCCUCUUUAACUAUUUCGGCCAAAGCUGUCAUUAAGACCUAGCCCUGGCAGAGGGAUGGUAAGUUAUCCACACUGAGUGUCUAUGUGGUUCAAAAUAAGAUGAACCCCAAUGCCCAGCCAAGCAUCACAGAACAAGGUUUCUAAAGAAACAGUCUGGCUGUCACUGCCAUGGUGCAGGUUCAAUCUCUGGCCCAGGGAACUUCUGCAUGCCGUGGGUGUGGCCCCCUAAAAAGAGAAAGAAAAGAAAAGAAAAGAAAAAAGAAAAGCAAUGAUCCGAAAUACCACGUGUACCAGCAUCAUAUUUAUUUUCUCAGUCCCCUGACACUUAUUGGUGUGUACCUCUGACCUUGAGUUAGUUACACACCAGCCUCGCUCAGCCUUUCUUACCGGGUUAAAUGGAGAUAAACCAGGCGCGCACCCCACAGACUAUGUGGCUAUUGACUUCCCUUCCCUGCGUCUGUUUCCUCGGGGUGGGUGUGAUUCGAAGUGAGCUCAGGCAUAAAAGGGGCUCAGAACAAUGCUCGCACACGACACAACCCGCCCCUAAUAGGGACCCCCUUAUGACCACCGUCCCCCUCAAAUUACCCACACGCUGAUCUCUGUGGGUGCUCCUGGCUCAGUGCCUGCUGCAUAGUAAGUGCUCAAUAAAUCCUAGCUGUCGAUGCUCUGUGGUUAUUACUGCGUCGCAGUUUUCAAAGGCCUUGACAUCUUUUCACAUACUCUCACAGCACGUUCGGCUGAAUUCUGUUUUCUUUGUAAAACCAACCACCACAGUUUCAUCACUGUGGGAAGAAGACCUUUUUCGAGUCUUUUUUCUUUUGUAAUGACACGAUGCUUUGUGAUGGAAAAAUCAUUUGUUUAGUUUGAGUCUCUGUGUUUUCCUUUUUGAAAUGAAUUAACUGAUUGUUUUCCCCGUGUUCUUCCAAGGUUUAAAAAGGCACCAGUGAACCAUCCGAUGCAGGGGUCCCAGGCAGAGAGAAGCCACUUGCUGUCCCACUCUGUGUUGUCUCCCCCACAUCGAGGUCCCCCAGCCAUGCGACCGCUGUGCUCUGAGCUCCGCCCUCUCUGGACCUGCUCUGUGUGACUCUGCUUGCCCACAUGGCCUCACCGGUUCUGCCCCAUGUCACCUCAUGUCACAUCCCAGGACUUUCCUGGGCUCCUCUAACACCUCCCAGCCUACUGAUUUUCUUUUUUUCUUUUUAGGGCUGCACCCAUGGCAUGUGGAGGUUCCUAAGGCAUAUGUGGCCUACGCCACAGCCAUAGCAACGCGGGAUUCGAGCCGCCUCUGCAACCUACCCCAUGCUCAUGGCAAUGCCAGAUCCUUAACCUACUGAGCAAGGCCAAGGAUUAAACCCUCAUCCUCAUGGAUACUAGUCAGGUUCAUUAACCACUGAGCCAUGAUGGGAACUCCAGCCUAUUAAUCGUAACGGCUUUUUCAUCUGAGUGGCUUCAGGGUCCUUCCCUUAGUCACGUCUCGGUGGCACACCUGCUUGCUUCCAACAGAGAAGUCCGCUGAGGACGUAUAUGUGCAAAGACCUUUCUCCUUUAAGUCAAAGCACAUUUAAAACAAGAAACGUAAUCACAUCUUCUUGCUUUAGAUUUAACACGCAGUUGCAGGAGGCUGCAGCGUGCCAAAACAAGCCACUCUGGGGUAAGGACAGUUUCGAGCUGAAAGUGAUCAGCAGGCUACCCUCCUCUUUUCUACCGUUUGUACAGGAGGCUCUUUCCAUCCCAGAGAGAGGACGAUGACGCUAGUCACUGGCGAUGGCCCUUGGUGCUGGAGAAGGCACCACCUUGAGUCUGCGUCACGAACUUACUAAAUAACUUUCACCUUCCAUUAGUUUCCUCCACGUAUGUAACUUCCCACAAUUUGCCUCAGGGACCCUUCCUGCGUCUGGUUAGUUUUCCACAAUUUAUCACCCUUUGUUCAAACGGUAUAUAAGCUCCCAGGUCUAACCCCUCCUUUUGGUGUUCAUUUCUCUCCUGUGAAGAAAUGCACGUGAAAUAAACAUUUUCUCUUGCAGGUCCCAGGCACUAAACUUAAAGAGGAUAAAGAAUAAGGGUUUUUGUUGUUGUUGUUGUUGUUGCUAUGUGGUUUUUGGGGUUGUUUGUUUGCUUUUAACCUUCCCUACAUAGCCAUAUGUGUAGGAAAUGCACAAACAUUUAAAAACCAAUUUUUUUUUAACUGCCCAGAAGCAACUUCUCCAUCCGGAGGCAAUCAAUGCUCCCAUUUACGCAUCAUUUUUCCAAGUCUUCCCAUCCCCCUUCUGCAUCAACACAUACAAGCCGCGUGUCUAUAGGACAGGGAAGUGCAUCAAUAAAACAACAUAAAGAGCUGGGAAGCCUGAGAUGCAGAGACACUAGAACCAUUCUAGCCAUGUCACCUCCUAUCCAUGCAAACUUGAGCCUAGUAUCUAGCCUUCUCCAGCCUCAUUUCCUCCUCUGUGAAAUGGAGAGAAGAGGCUCCAUCUCACAAGGUUGAUAUGAGGCAUCUGUAAGACGAGACACAGUAAGGAUGGUUUCCUGGCACAGAGUGGGGACUAUUUAAGGAUAAACAUUCAUCUUAGUAAAUAGAUAUUAGUAACCAAUAAUUUUAAAUUAAAAUUGUAUCUUUAGAAUGUCUAUUAAGUUAAAAAUAAAUGUUGUAAGUUUCCACUUAAAACAUACAAUGUAGCUGCGAUUUCAAGGUAAAUCCACACAUCUUGCUUGAGUGUCAUUCCCACCAUAUGGACAGUAUUUCCCAUCAGCAUAAAUUGUUACAUGAGUUUUCAUGGCUGUAUAAGACUCACACCAUGAUACCUUUAUUUACUUAUUUAUUUAUUUGGCUUUUUUUUUUUUAAGGGCCACACCUGAGGCAUACGGAGGUUCCCAGGACAGGGGUCCAAUUGGAGCUACAGCUGCCAGUCUAUGCCACAGCCACAGCAACACGGGAUCCAAGCCACAUCUGUGACCUAUACCAAGAGUUCAUGGCAAUGCCAGUUGCUUAACCCACUGAACAAGACCAAGGAUUGAACCUGAGUCUUCAUGGAUAUUAGUUGGAUUUGUUACCACCUAGCCACAAAGGGAUCUCCUUUAAUUUUUCUUUUUUUAAUGCCCACACCUGUGGCAUAUAGAAGUUCCUGGGCCAGGGACUGGAUCCAAACUGUAGCCUAUGCCACAGCUGUGGCAACCCUGGAUCCUUUAGCCCAGGAUGCCGGGCCGGGGAUCAAACCUGCACCUUUAUAGACACCUGAGCUGCUGUAACCCAUUGAGCUACGGUGGGAAUACCACAGUGUCUUUAAUUUUUGACAGAAAUAACUGUUCAUCUCAAUGCCAUCAAAGGACAGCCAGGAUAGAAGAAUCCUGGCGUUUCCUUGUUCCAGCCCUUUAAAAGUCCAUUUUCUACCCUGGCUCCCUUCAACUUCAUUAAAAUCUCUAUGAAAGUGGCUUUCUGCACAUUUGAUUUAUAAUCACCAGCUAACAUGAAUAAAUCAUCUCUGGAGGAAAUUAAAUCACAAGCAUUUCAACUCCAAGUGCUUGGACGGAACAAUUUCUCUGCUCCUCCUGGCCCUGCAGACACCCACAAAUUGCCAUUUCCUGGGGCCUGAAAGGGGCCUCGGUCCAGAAAAAUGAGGGGCCGGAGCUGCCACCCCGCCUCCCUUGCUGAAGGCACAGGGUGCUUCCUCGUCCCCUAAGGAUGCUGCAAACACACUUGGCAAGAGACAGGACAGGCAUCCGGCCCCCGUGCCACAGGUGUGGACACUGAGCUUCAGAAGUACCCGGACCAGAUUCACAUGGUCGUUGACAGAGCCAGGAUGCCACCAGUGCUGGCUGAAUCCCUCUGUGUGCCCUCCCCCCAUCCAUGUUGUCCCACAGAAGAGAUGCGUGUCUUCCCAAGAAAGCAGCUUUGAGAGAGAGUUCGGCAUAGCUGAUGCACGGAGGUCAGAGGUUAUGAGAACCCCCAUCACACUUCCAUUCCUAGCCAGGAUCCUCCCAUGAGGCUGAAGAGCCAGCUCACAUAGUCCAGCGUGAACCCCGUACGGAACCACACAUCACCCGGGGAGGGCUCUGGGCAGGCCCUUGUUCCCACCCGACUCUGCUCACUGAAGUGAGCCUUCUAAACCAGGGGUGAAUCCAGCCUUUUUCCUUCCCCAUGACUGCAGGCAACUGGUCCCCACAGAUGGGGACUCCUGCCUGGCUCCCUUUCCCCUAGCCAGGGCCUGACCCCUGGACCUUGGAGGGGUCCUGCCCUGGGGGCCAGACACCUGGGUAGGAGAUUGGUCCAGGGGUGGUGCUAUGAGCAGUCGGCCCCAGAACAGCCAACACUCUCUCCCUAACUCCAUGGAAGGGGAAACAGAGACCAGGAGAUGCCCUCCAUGUGCCCCAGAGCCAGCGGCUUGUUUCUGGGUCUAGUUUCUCAGCACCUGAGAGCUUUUAAAACUAACACCAAAGAGGGAGUGGCCCUUGUGGCUCAGCGGGUUAAGAAUACGGCUAGUAUCCAUGAGGAUGCAGGUUCAUUGCUGCUGAGCCACACUGGGAACUCCCCGGAGGACUUUCAAAAGCAAAUGAGAGAGCGACUGCCCAGGCUUGUAGCUGAAGCCUGGGGCUUUAGGACCACGGAGUGCAUUUGGAAUUGAGCUGCCAGGGUUCGAGUCUGCCUCUGCUACUUCCUAGCAGGUUAACUACUAGUAAGACCAUUCUGCUCUAACAUGAGGAUGGUGACAGCUCUCAGCACCCAGUGUCUUUGGCGGUAAGAUGUCACAAGUCACGGAAACUGGUGGCCAGACUGAAAACAACCCAAACAUCCAUCAGCUGGUAAACGGGUAAACAGAAAGCGGCAAACACGUACAAUGGAAUACUACCCUGCGGGAAAAAAGUAUGAAUACUGACACCUGCCACGACGCGGAUCAACCUCAAAGACAUUCUGCCUAUGAAAAAAGCCAGGCACAGGAGACACUGUAUCCUGUGAUUCCAUUUAUACGAAAUAUCCAGGAAAGGCAACUCUAUAGAGACAGAAAGUAGACUGGGGGCUGCCUGGAGCUGGGAGAGUGGUCAGUGACUGCAAGCAGGUCCAAGGGAUCUGCUGGGGCGAUGGGAACUCGUAAAACUGGAUCCUGGUGAUGGCUGCACGGCUUUGUAAAUUUACUAAAGUGUAUUAAAUUGUACAAUGAAAACAAGUGAAUGUUAGGCUCUGUAA